RNAcentral lists this ribosomal RNA (267 nucleotides) under uncultured bacterium. RNAcentral's name for it is "partial 16S ribosomal RNA". It matches the Rfam family "Bacterial small subunit ribosomal RNA", at positions 86 to 354 of the family's 1533-position model. The record is from RNAcentral.
UGUCGGCGACCGGCGCACGGGUGCGUAACGCGUAUGCAACCUACCCAUUACAGGGGGAUAACACUGAGAAAUCGGUACUAAUACCCCAUAACAUCCAGGGAGGCAUCUUCUUGGGUUGAAAACUCCGGUGGUAAUGGAUGGGCAUGCGUUGUAUUAGUUAGUUGGUGGGGUAACGGCUCACCAAGACAACGAUACAUAGGGGGACUGAGAGGUUAACCCCCCACAUUGGUACUGAGACACGGACCAAACUCCUACGGAAGGCAGCAG